CGUUCUCUGAGUUGUUUGUGACUGGCUGAUGUCCCUGAGCCGAUAAUUCUUUACAUCAGGGUUUCUUCUCCAGCGCUAUUGUGCAAGCCCGGCCCGUAUCGGGAAGCCUGCGGUGCUGAUUAGUUUCCCGCCUUGAACCUCUGGUUCAAGGGCUUACGCCGGUCACGGCAAUUCGGAGAACAC
Molecule: non-coding RNA, 183 nt
Organism: Rheinheimera sp. F8
Lineage: Bacteria; Pseudomonadati; Pseudomonadota; Gammaproteobacteria; Chromatiales; Chromatiaceae
Rfam family: 6S / SsrS RNA
About the family: E. coli 6S RNA was the first non coding RNA to be sequenced, but its function was unknown until recently. It consists of 184 nucleotides that fold into an extended hairpin structure with a large single-stranded internal bulge. The 6S RNA specifically associates with RNA polymerase holoenzyme containing the sigma70 specificity factor.
Source: Rfam